Molecule: unclassified non-coding RNA, 355 nt
Filed under: rhizosphere metagenome
Description: partial ribosomal RNA internal transcribed spacer region
Source: RNAcentral
GUAGGUGAACCUGCGGAAGGAUCAUUAACACGUAUCCAACGUUAAACAACCCUGCGAACCUUGAACGUGCUCUCGUACACGCUCUAGCAGCAAUCCCUGGUAAAUCAUUGUUGACCAGCUAUUGAGUCUGGGACUUCUGCUAGAAAACCAUACGAUACGAGCGCCAGAGUAAGUGCGGCCUGGCAUCCUAGCAAUCUGUCAGUGGUUGCGCAAGGAUGGCGCAGUAAACGAUCGCUGUAGGCCCACACGGCCGGCGACCGGGCCUCUGUGCUUCGGCACCUAAUGAUGACCCGGUGCGCUGUAACAACCGCACCACAAACUCGAACAACUGUUAACAAUGGAUAUCUUGGUUCCU